AUGGUACUGCUGGUGCUAUAUAGUGGAGGAUUUCGCCGAGCCUAUUUGGACAUGGUCAGGAGCACGCCACAGUCCUGCUGUCUUCACUUGUGUCAUCUCUUGCUCUCUUCUGCUUUUCUUCUCGCUGGCCUGACUUGUCCAGCUUCGAUCCUCGGCAAUCCUAGAUUUAGAGCAUCUACCAACAUGUCCAACUGCAUGGACGUCUCGGCCACGCCGUCCCCGGAGCCGCCCCCGCCGACGGCGGCGCUGGACUACGACAUGGUGGUGAUCCUGGCGGCGAUGCUGUGCGCGCUGGUGUGCGUGCUGGGGCUCAACUCCGUGCUCCAGCAGUGCGUGGCGCGGUGCGCCCGCCGCGCCGUGGCCGACCCCGUCGGAUGGGUGGCGCACCGCCGCGCCAACGCCGGGCUCAAGCGCGAGGCCCUCGUUGCACUGCCCGUCGCCACGUACGCCGGCGAGAAGCAGCACGCGUCGGCCGGUGCCGGGUGCGCCAUCUGCCUGUCGGACUUCGCCGACGGGGAGACCAUCCGCGUGCUCCCCGUGUGCGGCCACCGGUUCCACGUGCCCUGCGUCGACAGGUGGCUCGCCUCGCGCUGCUCGUGCCCGACGUGCCGGCGCCGCCUCUCGGCCGACUGCGCUGGCGCCGGAGAAGGCCACCGCCAAGUCCUGCAAGUUCUGAACGCCGUGUGA
RNAcentral lists this ribosomal RNA (687 nucleotides) under Triticum aestivum (bread wheat). RNAcentral describes it as "partial small subunit ribosomal RNA". Lineage: Eukaryota; Viridiplantae; Streptophyta; Magnoliopsida; Poales; Poaceae. The record is from RNAcentral.